AUACGUAGGUGGCAAGCGUUAUCCGGAUUUACUGGGUGUAAAGGGCGUGUAGGCGGUCUUGCAAGUCAGAAGUGAAAUUCCUGAGCUCAACUCGGGCGCUGCUUCUGAAACUGCAGGACUUGAGUGCUGGAGGGGAUAGCGGAAUUCCUAGUGGAGCGGUAAAAUGCGCAGAUAUUAGGAAGAACACCGGUGGCGAAGGCGGCUAUCUGGACAGUAACUGACGCUGAGGCGCGAAAGCGUGGGGAGCAAACAGGAUUAGAUACCCUGGUAGUCCACACUGUAAACGAUGAAUGCUAGGUGUAAGAGGUAUCGACCCCUUUUGUGCCGGAGUCAACACAAUAAGCAUUCCGCCUGGGGAGUACGGCCGCAAGGUUGAAACUCAAAUGAAUUGACGGGG
RNAcentral lists this ribosomal RNA (397 nucleotides) under uncultured bacterium. Its description in RNAcentral is "partial 16S ribosomal RNA". It matches the Rfam family "Bacterial small subunit ribosomal RNA", at positions 523 to 918 of the family's 1533-position model. The record is from RNAcentral.